GUGAAUCAUCGAAUUUUUGAACGCAAAUUGCACUCUCCUCGGAUAGUAUGCCUGUUUGAGGGUCAGCCUAUAAAAAAUCGACAUCGUUGCUGUUUCGCGAUGGCGUUCGUCGGAAAUUGGGGCAUCUUAAGUCUUUUGGGUUUAAGCGACUUAAAAUUUUCCUUUUUGUUCCAUGAACGUUUCUAAGAUUUAUUUCUUUACACGUUUAGGAUAUCGAUUUUUAUUAGACGUGACCAUCAUAUCGGAUCUCGACCAUAAUCUUUCAGUAACUGACCUCUGACAG
RNAcentral lists this unclassified non-coding RNA (283 nucleotides) under Glomus sp. RNAcentral's name for it is "partial contains 5.8S ribosomal RNA and internal transcribed spacer 2". The stretch from base 1 to 65 matches the Rfam family "5.8S ribosomal RNA", at positions 84 to 154 of the family's 154-position model. The record is from RNAcentral. Lineage: Eukaryota; Fungi; Glomeromycota; Glomeromycetes; Glomerales; Glomeraceae.